GGGCCCGCACAAGCGGUGGAGCAUGUGGUUUAAUUUGAUGCAACGCGAAGAACCUUACCAGGACUUGACAUACCAUAGACAUUUUUAUGAACAUAAUUAUUUCCUUCGGGACUAUGGAUACAGGUGGUGCAUGGCUGUCGUCAGCUCGUGUCGUGAGAUGUUGGGUUAAGUCCCGCAACGAGCGCAACCCUUGUCUUUUGUUACCCCUAUCGAGAGAUAGGGGGAAUCGAAAGAGACUGCCGGUCAUAAACCGGAGGAAGGUGAGGAUGACGUCAAGUCAGCAUGCCCCUUACGUUCUGGGCCACACACGUGCUACAAUGGGUAAGACAAUAAGUAGCUAACCUGCGAAGGUGCGCAAAUCUAAGAAACUUAUCCUCAGUUCGGAUUGGAGGCUGCAACUCGCCUCCAUGAAGUCGGAAUCGCUAGUAAUCG
RNAcentral lists this ribosomal RNA (432 nucleotides) under uncultured bacterium. RNAcentral's name for it is "bacterial SSU rRNA". It matches the Rfam family "Bacterial small subunit ribosomal RNA", at positions 917 to 1344 of the family's 1533-position model. The record is from RNAcentral.